CUGGUUCUCAGAAAGUCCUGGCAUUUACUCAGAUGUUUAUUGCAGUUUCUUUACAAUGAGGGUGGGAAAAUUCAUGACAUUAACCAAGCUUUAAAUGACAAAAUCGUGAAAAUGGUGCGUAUGUUGAAAAGCGGUGAACUCGGUUUAUGUCCAUUCAAAAUAACCCUUACUUCGCAUUUGUUCCAAAAAUCACUCAACCGUAAAGUUGUCGAUAAUUUUCUUAAAAGUCAUUUUCAACCAACUAUACAGAGUUCAAAUAUAAAUAAAAAAAAAAUUAUAAGAUUUUUU
RNAcentral lists this long non-coding RNA (288 nucleotides) under Mytilus galloprovincialis (Mediterranean mussel). Lineage: Eukaryota; Metazoa; Mollusca; Bivalvia; Mytilida; Mytilidae. The record is from RNAcentral.